UUGGUCCCGUUUCGGGGUUCGAUUAGCCUGCUAGUCGUGCGGGUUAGACCCGCGGCGUAUAGCUCAGUAACACGUGGCCAAACUACCCAACAGACAGGAACAACCUCGGGAAACUGAGGCUAACACCUGAUAGGCGUUGCACGGUUGAAGACGGUGACGCUCAAACGCUCCGGCGCUGUUGGAUGUGGCUGCGGCCGAUUAGGUAGACGGUGGGGUAACGGCCCACCGUGCCGAUAAUCGGUACGGGUUGUGAGAGCAAGAGCCCGGAGACGGAAUCUGAGACAAGAUUCCGGGCCCUACGGGGCGCANCAGGCGCGAAACCUUUACACUGCACGCCAGUGCGAUAAGGGAACCCCGAGUGAAAGGGCAUAUCGCCCUUUCUUUUCUGGAUUGUAAGGAGAUCCAGGAACAAGANCUGGGCAAGACCGGUGCCAGCCGCCGCGGUAAUACCGGCAGCUCGAGUGAUGACCGAUUUUAUUGGGCCUAAAGCNUCCGUAGCUGGCCAUGCAAGUNCGUCGGGAAAUCCACCUGCUUAACAAGUGGGCGUCCGGCGGAAACUGCACGGCUUGGGACAGGAAGGCUCGAGGGGUACGUUCGGGGUAGGAGUGAAAUCCUGGAAUCUGAACGGGCCACCCAUNGCNAAAGCACCUUGAGAGGACUGAUCCCACAG
This 670-nucleotide ribosomal RNA is filed under the name uncultured euryarchaeote. RNAcentral describes it as "bacterial SSU rRNA". It matches the Rfam family "Archaeal small subunit ribosomal RNA", at positions 20 to 697 of the family's 1478-position model. The record is from RNAcentral. Lineage: Archaea; Methanobacteriati; Methanobacteriota.